RNAcentral lists this long non-coding RNA (9138 nucleotides) under Fragaria vesca (wild strawberry). RNAcentral's name for it is "long non-coding RNA (FVES_LNC002115)". Lineage: Eukaryota; Viridiplantae; Streptophyta; Magnoliopsida; Rosales; Rosaceae. The record is from RNAcentral.
AGAGAGAGAGACCUGACUCUGGUCACUGUGUUGGGUGUACCACACUGACUAGGUGAAAGCUCAGAAUGGGAAAAACUCAGUAACUCAUUCACGCAUGACUGAGAUUGACAGAGAUUGAGUGAAAUUCCACCACUCAUCUAAGCAUGGCAUGAUGUGCACGCCAAAGUUUGUAGCUUUCUGAAGUCUAAAUCACCAAGAAGAAGAAGAAAAACCCAGAUGCUAUCACCUACCAAGUCUAUGGAUUACGAAAGGAUCCAAAAGCCUCAGGUGCCUUUUGCUUCUUCUUCUUUCACAUAAUGUGCUUCAUUUCAUUCAUGUUUUUACUUCAUGUUGAGUCCAAAUGUGUAGUAUGUUAAGAGAAAAUUACAAAACGAAGCAUCGCUUUCAAAGCUUGUCUCUUUUCCUCACUUCAACUGUGUGAAAGACACAACCUUUUUUGAUCUGUCAAUUUCAGGAGACCCACAUAUUUGGCUCAAAGUUUGUGUCUUUCUGUUGGGUUUUUGGGUAUAAACUCAGAUACCCAGUUGGAAGAGUGUGGUUUUUGAUGUGAAUUUUGGAAGUGCAGGUUGGUGGUGGUGGGGGAUUUUCACCUGGGAAGUUGAGGACUAUGCUACUUGGGGUAGAGAAGAAGAGGAAGGAGCAGGGAGAUUCUGAAUCUACUUUCAAUUUGAGAUCUCAAGCUUCUGAAUUUGAAGGGAAUGGUAUGUUAUUUUUCCUUUCAAUUUUUGAAUCCUAGAAGAUAGCAGUUAAAGUUCACAUCUUAAUUGUACUUGUACUACUAUAGCAAAUGUGAAACUAUGUCAUUUGGCAAUUGGGUGCUGCAAAAGAUUCACUCUUUAUACUUUAUUUGGCAGAUAAGAUUAAUGCAAACUAACACAAGACAUAAGAGUUGGGAUGUUUGACUAAUUCUAAUGUUGCAGGUGGUGCUGAUAACUGCAAAGACGUAGAUGUUGUGAGUGUUCAUCCUGAAUGCUCGACUUCAACUGCUGUUGAUUCAUCAGGCUCAGAGAUGAUGAGUGACCGCAGCUUGAAGGAUAAUGCAUUAGGCAAUUUCAGAGCUAGGAAUCAAGAACACCCGUCGUUGGAUUAUGAUAGUGGACAUGAUGCAAUGAGUACUGUGUCCUCUUCCAUCUUUGAGUUUCAGAAGGCAGAAAGGGGCACACAAAGACUGCCUCUUGCACCUUUCUCCAAACCAGCACCAUCCAAAUGGGAUGAUGCUCAGAAGUGGAUAGCAAGUCCAACUUGGAGCAGGCCAAAGAGUGGGCAAGGAGUUGGAUCACGAAAGGCGGGUAAUCUAGGUUAUGGAAGUCGCCAACCGACGACAAAGGUUGUUGUUGAAGUUCCAGAUUCAAAAGUAGCUAACUUUGAAGAGCCAGAUACCAAACGGAUUGACACAAAUCAAACUAAGAUGGAAACUGGGGGGCAGAAGUUUGUUAACUGGGAGGCUGAGCCCUACCCCAUUGCCGAUUCUUACAUCAAGCCUGUGCUCAUGAUCGAAAAUUCUGUUGGAGAGUCAGCAAGUAAGAUUGUGCUUUCUGUUUUCCUUAUCUUCUUCUUUUGUCUAGUUCAGUUAAGAUUAUUGUUUCAUGGCUACAUCAUUCACUACAGAAUAAGAUUUUCAGCACUGCAAUCAAUCUACCGAUAUAUACUAUAUCAUGUGUUCUGAAAUGUUGUUAAUACUUAAUACUACCACUAGAAAUUAUUGAUGAUUGAAUAUGUUAAGGAUCAGUACUUCGCAAUCUCAAAAAAAAAAAAGGAUCAGUACUUUGGUAGGGACAAAGUUUGGUUACUACUGUUUUAUAAAAAAAGAACGAGUAUGUAAACUUUGAUAGAAUGGAUGCUCAUCAUGUCCUUUAUGGUUGUUAUGGAUGACUUUGAGGACAACAAUGAAGAAUAUGAGGCCUGGACAUCUCAAAAUUUCAUUGCUGCUUUAUAAGUUUAAAAGCUUCCAUAUAGGAUUGUCUAAGCCUGAUAAUAAUAAAUAUAUCAGGAUUAUGGUCAGAAUGUGGUGGAUUGGCAAUAACGUGAGAAUAGUUAUUAGUUUCAUUGCUGGUCGUAAUGAAAGGUGUAGGUAGCUUAUAUGUUGACACCAACUGUGUUAGAAGAUGAAACCUUUUCUGCACGAUGUUAUUCAUGCUGCACUUAGGUUUGAAACACACAUCAACAUAUGUAAGAAGACUUAAGAAAAUGGGGUUAUUGAUACUGAAAUUAUGUGUAUUGAUUCAGGAUUAGUCCAAUAUACCACAAAAUAGUUGGGGUGGCUGAGGUGCUUGGAAUUAUUACUAAAACUUAUUUUUGCUUGUUCCAAUAUCUAAAACACUACAUCUGGCAUAUGAUAUUUGUAGUCAAUCUUAGCCGGCUGGAUUCUUCUGGAGCCUUCCAUGGGACGACGACAUUUAUUCCUCCCCCUUCAACAGCAAGGUCUGUGUCCAUGAGAGAUAUGGGUACAGAGAUGACACCAAUUGCUAGCCAGGAACCUUCCAGGACUGGAACUCCAGUGGGGGCAACAACACCAAUUCGUAGUCCAACUAAUUCAAGGCCGUCUACUCCCUCCAGAGCUGCACAAGCUUCAUCUCCCAAUGCUCCAUCUAUUGAUCACAUAGGUCCUAACAAGGAGCUGUCUGAGAAAGAGAAAACUAGGCGAGAGAUAAUGGCUCUUGGGACACAGCUGGGUAAGACGAAUAUUGCUGCCUGGGCUAGCAAAGAAGAGGAUAAAGAUGCAUCAACAUCAGUAAAAUCUGCAGCAUCAGAACAACUAGCUAGGAGUAUUAUUGAGACACGUGCAGCAGCAUGGGAGGAGGCUGAGAAAGCCAAGUAUUUGGCUAGGUUAGUAUAUGCAUGCCCUUUGUGUUUUCUUCACUGAUUUCCAUUUUGAUACCCCUAGAAUACUAAAUGUAUUAAUAUCUGUCUAUAUAUCUAUAGAUAGAGAUAGCUAAAGCUUUAAAAGUAUACUAUUCUACCGAAGUUCCAAAUACUCUGAAGACUGAGGAAUGUUGCAAUGAUAGGAGAUGGAUUUCAGGCACAUACUAAAGAAGUAAAUUUCAGUAAGGUCAAAAGAUAGAUGAAAAGAAUUCCAUCUCUUACAAUUGUAACUUAAUUGUUGGCUCAUCAAAGUCAUUAUGCUCUGGUUGUUCUAUGUUACAAUUCAUGCUGUAAUGAUAACUGUAAUUGUCCAGGUUUAAACGUGAAGAGAUGAAAAUUCAAGCGUGGGAGAAUCAUCAGAAAGCGAAAUCAGAAGCAGAGAUGCGGAAAGUCGAGGUACUUUAUUCAACGAGCUUCCUUCAAUGACCUGUUAGUGAACUCAAAUUUCUAAUCGAUGGAGUCUCUUGGUUUAUUGAAACUGACAGCUGAAUUUUCCAGGUAGAAAUCGAAAGGUUAAGGGGACGGGCACACAGUAAGCUAAUGAAUAAAAUAGCAGCUGCAAGGCAUAAGGCUCAAGAAAAGCGAGCAGCAGCGGAGGCCAAGAAAAACCAGCAAGCUGCAAAAACGGAGCAACAAGCAGAGCACAUUCGCAGAACUGGCCAGGUCCCUUCCACAUUUUGUUGUUGGGGUUGGUGCUCUUGAUGUUCGAGUCACUUUGUACCCUUUUGUCGAUUUUCUGUGAAUUGCAUUGUAUGUCCAUGGUCAAACACCGUAGGAUGUCCAGCCUUCAUGUAGAAACCAAAAAACUCUGAUUUAGAGCCAGUCGAUUCCUUUGUUCAUCACGACGACAGAAGAGUAUUAGGAUUCAAGUGUUUAACAGCAUAGUAAUGUACCUGCAUCUAUCAUUCUAUCUAGUAAUGAGUAAUCUAGUAUCUUCCAGCAAUUCAAUGCAUACAGCAAUGCACAAAACGAUAUCAUCUAAGAUCACCUCAAGGAUCCACCAUGUGCACACUAUUUACUCCCAUACUUUUGUAAUGUAGCCCACAAGUAAUUGUAACAUCCUUCAAGCCCAAACAGAAAAACAUCCUCAAGGCCCAAACAGCAAAAAGAAAAAAGACGGGAAGAUAUAAGCCAAAACCUAGAUCAGAACUCCGUCUCCUUCCUCACUUCAACCUCUCGCAUCCCAAUCUUCAAGCCCGAUAAGAAGUCUAAUCUCAUCUCAAUCCCAAACCAAUCCUUAUCAACCUCAUCUCAAUCCCAAAACAAACCUCAAUUCUUCUGUUCAUCACAACAAUAGAGAUGGAUAUGCCGAUCUACCUACAGUUUGUCGUCGACUCUGAGUAUGACGCUGCUAGGCGUCGGAGCGUCUUUCGGCAUCGGUGGUAUGUGAUCGAGGAGAGAGGUGAUCAAGAAACGGCCGCAGAUGAUGAGUUGGGGGAGGAACACUGGAUCGUUAAAAGUGUACAUGAUAGAGUCAGACAUCUGCGUCUUCCCCAUCUAAAUUAUGAUCUCGAUCAUUCCUUUUUCGCCGUCUCCAACUCCCGUUUAUUCUUCGUCGGUGGCUAUACCACCCAUGGACCGGGUAUCCAUGAAGGCAAUGGAAUUCUCCACAUUGACUUACAACGGAGCGACCUCUCUUGGGAGAGAUGCGAUAAAGGGGCUCAAGAGUUCAAAUUUGUGGGUGGGGUGGCGGUUUGCGAUAACGGCGAUUCAAUUUAUGUGCUGGCAUCAACUAGGCAUAGGUUGCAGUUGCUCCGCUUCGGCUGCCGCAACGUCGAAGAAGGGGAGAUUAUGUCCCUCCCUCCGCCUGCUGAUUUUUGGCCAAGAUUCUGUUUUGCUGUGUCUGGGUCCAAGAUGCUCCUGUAUAGGCCUCCGCUCUUGGGCAUGGAAGACGAACCGUCUCAUUUCGGCUACUAUAAUCUGGAAAAUAAAUAUUGGGAAGAGAGCAUAUCCGUUCCGGGCACCAUCCCUGCAAGAAGCUGGGGCUUUAAGCCGUCGGCGCUCUACCGCAUCGUGCUGGUGAAAGAAUCGUUUCUGAUACACUUUGAACGUUUGGGUUCCCCUCCCAAGGUGCCGGACUGUGGUCCGGGUUUGUAUGUUUAUGAUAUUCUGGGUUGUAAAUGGCUCUCCAAACCAGUCCAGGGUCUCCCAAACGAUGACUACGUCCUUCCCUCCGUGGAAACUGAACAGCCUAUCAGGUACGCAUACCUGAUGCAAGUCCGGAGAGAUGUACUGAAAUUGGCUCUUGUUUGGACCAGGGACGGGGCCGACUACGACGACGGCACCGUCAGCGACCAGACUGAAGUUCAUUGGACCAAAUUCAUACUCCGCAUCGAAGACCAAGACAAUAAUCUCCCAACCUUCUACGCUGAAUGCUUGUCUUCUGGAAUCUGUUACGGUGGCAAUACCAGCUUGGCCAAUUGCUCCGCUGGAUAGGAUUGAUGCCUCUAUAGAAUGUUGCAAAACCAAUUUGUUGGUAAAAUGUCACUAUUACAGUAAUGAAUCAGUUUCACCUUCCUUUUUACUUCUUUUUGUUUUUGAUGAACUAUGAGGCCCCGUUUGGUUAGCAAGAAUCUCAAGAUAGAAAAAUAAUUUAUUUUCUUUUCAUACUGAUAUGGAAUGGAAAUGGAAAAGGUUUUGGUAUUUUUGUUUGGUUGAUAUUGUAAUUAAAUAAUUAGUAAUUCAUUUACAUUCCUAUUACACAAUAUUUAAUAAGUCAUAAUAAUGAAAUUGAAAAUUUAAUUUCUAAUAAUACUCUUUUAUUAAUUGCAUAUGUGAUCUAUUUAAGGGAAUAUAAACUUUUUAGAUAGCUAAUUUCUGUAAUUUACAUUUGACGGUGGGAAUGGAAUAAAAUACCAUCCCUCACUAGGUAAUUCAAUUCAGGUUUUAUGGGGGAGUCAAUUUCUAGUCAUAUCUCAUUUUUUGUUUCUUUUAAUUUCCAAUCUUUGUUUACAACCAAACAACACAAUAAAAUGGAAAAUGAAACCAAUUCCAUUUUCAUACCAUCUUUUCCUAUCAUACAAACAGGGCCUGAAAAUAGGUGAUCAUUGGAUGGAAUUAACAAAAUGAUUGGAUAUUGGAGGAGUUUGGAGGAGUGGUGGAAGACGGUGGUGGUUAGGGGUCAUCAUGGGCUGGGUUAGGGCCGACCCUACCCUAAAAUUUAGGGCUUAGGGUAGGGUCAGGUAGGGCUCGGUCAAAGUCAACAAAAUUUAGGGCCGGGUAGGGUAGGGCUGAUGCUUGAAUAUGCAAGCCCUUAUUCGUCCUAGCGGCCCAUUUCGUUAGGGUUAAAAGGGCCGGGUAGGGCCGACCCUUUAAAUAAGGCUAAAUAGGGCCGAGAUGGGCUAAGUCAUUUUUUUUUCUUUUUCUUACAAUUUAACUCAAUCCUCAAUGAUUAUAUUACUUAUAUGUAAUACACAUUAUUUUGUUAUUUAACAUACAUGCAUAUGCAUAUACAUUAUAUUUAACUUCGGACAUCUAUAUAUAAAUAUUAAUCUAAGAGGUUAUACUCAUAUCUCAUGAAUUAUCUCUCGAAAAUCUAAAUCAUCAAAAUACAAUAGUUAUUCAACGAAGCAAAAGAAAAUCAAAGAAAUAAGCUAGAAAAUCAAUUACAAAAAAGAAGAUUAGUUGUAUUAUAUUUAAAAAAAAUAAUAGACAUAUUAAAACAAUAGAAAAAAUAAGAAUUUUUUAGGGCUUAAAGGGCGGGCUUUUAGGGCCGGGCCGGGUUUGACCCUAAAGGGCUCAAUAAGGUAGGGCCGUAGGGUAGGGCCGGGUUUCAUUUGUUUGACCAUUGCCCUACCCUAUUUGAGAAGGGCUACGGCCGGCCCGCCCUAAUGGAGGGCCGGGUAGGGCUUCGGCCCUAGAGGGUAGGGCGGGUUUUAUGGCGGGCUAGGGCCGAAGGGCCAAAUGAUGAGGUCUAGUGGUGGUGAUGCCUAGAAAUGAUCUUUCCUUCCCAAAAAUAAAAAACAAUAAAAAAAUAAGUGAUCUUCCAGCAGUCUAACGCAUAAUUACAUACACCAAUAUGUUUGAGAGUAAAUUUACACCCUCUAGAUUUGUAGCAUAUCAAACCAUUUAUGUGGUUCGUCGUGGAUACGAUCGAAUAUCUAAGGCAUAUUUGAGGCAAACCGGGCUACUUAUCGGUAUAAUGUUGAUUAUCAAAUAUUUUGGUAAUUAAUGAUAUAUUAAUUGUUUGCCUGCAAAGUGACCUUGGAAGGGAUCUUGACGUGUGCAUGCUAGUGAUCAAGAUUUGUUACCUUUGCAAUUAAGGUAUCGUGGUAUAAUUGGGGUUGAUGCAGUACAUAUAUCUACGGCCAAGAAGCAUGCAAGAGAUACAAUUAUAUUAUUAUGAGGAUUCAUUCCUUAUUGGUAUAUGCAUGGAAUGAUCACGUCCAGAAAACUUUUCAAGAGCAAUUAUAUUGCUUAGAAGACUCACGGUGCUAUCUAAUCAAUUAAGGUUUCCUUGCCUUAAUUGUAUUUGAAGAUAUCCACGUCAAGAAGAUCUUCAAGAAUUAUAUAUUGAGGUAAAUACCUUUACCUAAACUUCGUAUCUAGUAUGAUACGUGAACCGAUACAUGCGGUUCAAUUAAGUAAAUAUAUUUAUUUUCUAUUGGGUAAUUACUAGCGGAAUAUUUGCCUUGAUAUGCAAGUUAUUCGCGAACCUAUUCUCUGUAUAAGCGAACGAGGAGAACCCUGACAAUUCAACAAAACUCUGCAUCACUGCAAAUUGGACGCCUCCCCAGUUCUUACUUCAUCUCAAUCCCAAACCAAUCCUUAUCAACCUUAUCUCAAUCCCAAAACAAACCUCAAUUCCUUUGUUCAUCACAACGAUAGAGAUGGAUAUGCCGAUCUACCUACAGUUCGUCAACUUUGAGUAUGACGCUGCUAGGCAACAACUUAACCACUGAUUUGGACGGCGACUUAACGGAUGGACCUAAUUGUGUGACAUUGGAUAGUUAAUGGAGUAAUCGAUUGAAAUUAAAAAUUAAUGGAGUAAACUGUCGAGCGCAUGAAAGUUAAUAGAGUGACCAGUAAUUAAUUCAAAAUAUAUCAUCGUCUAGAUACUAAACUUUGAGACAUAUCCUAUUACUUCCUUUCCUCACAUCCUCAAGGCCCAAACAGCAAAAUAUCCUCAAGGCCCAAACAACAAAAAGAAAAAAGACGGGAAGAUAUAUAUAAGCCAAAACCUAGAUCCCUCUUGGCUUCAACCUCGCAUCCCAAUCUUAUCAAACCUCAAAACAAGGCUGGCUCAUCUCAAUCCCAAACCAAUCCUUAUUAACCUCAUCUCAAUCCCCCAAAGCAAACCUCAAUUCCUUUGUUCAUCACAACCAAGAACAGAGAGAGAUGGAUAUGCCGAUCUACCUACACUUUCUCGACUCUGAGCCUGACGCUCCUAGGCCCGGUGAAAGGCGUCAGACCGGCCCUCAUCAUCGGUGGUAUGUGAUCGAGGAGAUAGGUGAUCAAGAAACAGCCCCAGAUGAUGAGUUGGGGGAGGAUCUCUGGAUCGAUAAAAGUGAACAAGAUAGAGUCAGACGUCUGCGUCUUCCCCAUUUAAUUCAUGAUGUCCUUUAUGCCGCUUUCGUCGCCUCCAAGUCCCGUUUAUUCUUCAUCGGUGGCCGUACCGUUAGGAGGGAGGAGGGUAUCGAUGUCGAUAAUGGAAUUAUCCACAUCGACUUGCAGGACGACCUCUGUUGGAAGAGAUGCGGUAAUUGGGGUGAAGAUAUCCAAUGUGCGAUUGAGGCCGCGGUUUCCGAAGACGGUAAUUCGAUUGUGGUGGUGGCUGAUCAGGUGUUCCGCUUCCGCUGCCACGACGUCCAAGUAGGGAAAGCUUACCCCCUGCGUUCUGAUUUUUGGCCAAGAUUAUUGCUUGCUAUUUCUGGGCCCACUAUACUCACGUAUAAGCCUAGUCGAUCGGACAGCGACAGACCGGAUCAUUUGGGCUAUUAUAAUAUGGAAAAUAAAUCUUGGAACAUAAGCAAAGACGUUACCAGUGGCCCCAUCUUUGCAAAAUGGGCCUUUAAGCCGUCGGUGUUCCGCCGCUCCGUGCUGGUGAGAAAUUCGUUUCUGAUAUACUUUGGACUUAACAGUCCCAGUCCCAUGGUGCCGGACUCUGGUCCGGCUUUGUAUGUUUAUGAUAUUCUUCGUUGUGAAUGGCUCCCCGAACCAGUCAGGGGACUCCGAAAGGAUGGCAUCAUCUUUCCCUCGGAAACUGGAUGGCCUAUCUAUUCCCCAUACCUGAUGCAAGUCCGGAGAGAUGCACUGAAAUUGGCUCUUGUUUGGUCC